UCCCUUGUGGCUUAGCUGGUAAAGAAUCCACCUGCAAUGUGGGAGACCUGGGUUCAAUCCCUGGGUUGGGAA
Non-coding RNA from Bos taurus (domestic cattle), 72 nucleotides. The record is from Rfam. Lineage: Eukaryota; Metazoa; Chordata; Mammalia; Artiodactyla; Bovidae.